Molecule: ribosomal RNA, 379 nt
Filed under: uncultured eukaryote
Lineage: Eukaryota
Description: partial 18S ribosomal RNA
Rfam family: Eukaryotic small subunit ribosomal RNA
Source: RNAcentral
CAAUAGCGUAUAUUAAAGUUGUUGCGGUUAAAAAGCUCGUAGUUGGAUUUCUGCCGAGGACGACCGGUCCGCCCUCUGGGUGAGUAUCUGGCUCGGCCUGGGCAUCUUCUUGGAGAACGUAGCUGCACUUGACUGUGUGGUGCGGUAUCCAGGACUUUUACUUUGAGGAAAUUAGAGUGUUUCAAGCAGGCUUACGCCUUGAAUACAUUAGCAUGGAAUAAUAAGAUAGGACCUCGGUUCUAUUUUGUUGGUUUCUAGAGCUGAGGUAAUGAUUAAUAGGGAUAGUUGGGGGCAUUCGUAUUUAACUGUUAGAGGUGAAAUUCUUGGAUUUGUUAAAGACGGACUACUGCGAAAGCAUUUGCCAAGGAUGUUUNCAUUG